Molecule: ribosomal RNA, 497 nt
Filed under: uncultured bacterium
Lineage: Bacteria
Description: partial 16S ribosomal RNA
Rfam family: Bacterial small subunit ribosomal RNA
Source: RNAcentral
GAUGAACGCUGGCGGCGUGCCUAAUACAUGCAAGUCGAGCGAACAGACGAGGAGCUUGCUCCUCUGACGUUAGCGGCGGACGGGUGAGUAACACGUGGAUAACCUACCUAUAAGACUGGGAUAACUUCGGGAAACCGGAGCUAAUACCGGAGAAUAUAUUGAACCGCAUGGUUCAAGAGUGAAAGACGGUUUUGCUGUCACUUAUAGAUGGAUCCGCGCCGCAUUAGCUAGUUGGUAAGGUAACGGCUUACCAAGGCAACGAUGCGUAGCCGACCUGAGAGGGUGAUCGGCCACCCUGGAGCUGCGACACGGUCCAGACUCCUACGGGAGGCAGCAGUAGGGAAUCUUCCGCAAAGGGCGACAGCCUGACGGAGCAACGCCGCGUGAGUGAUGAAGGUCUUCGGAUCGUAAAACUCUGUUAUUAGGGAAGAACAAAUGUGUAAGUAACUAUGCACGUCUUGACGGUACCUAAUCAGAAAGCCACGGCUAACUACGUG